UAAAAUACAAAGUAGUACCACACAACAUCCCAUCAUCUAAACAUUUUAGUAGAAGCCACACUCCUUUUCCUUUCUUCUUAAAUCUUUAGAACCAUCUCUGUCUAAAUACUUUCUUUGUUUCGGUUUAGGUACUAGGCAAGAAUCUGAAAGUACUUUUAUUUGCUUGGAUUAGAAGAAUAAUAAGAAGGUGACUUAUACUAUCGUAAUCCAAGAAAAAAGAGAGGAAAAAUGGAUAUGGACUUUUGGGCUGCAAGAAUAAAUUCAGCUAGGCACCUCUCUGCUGUCCAAACAAACCAUCUCAGGAAUUCUGAUAAUCUCUCAAAUGUGGAUAAUACAGAAGGAGAAGAGGAUGUUCAGGCCUGGUUCCCUUGCCCUUUCUGUUAUGUAGAAAUUGAAGUCCAGAUGCUUUGCAACCAUUUGCAAGAAGAGCAUUGCUUUGACUUUAGAAACGCGGUUUGUCCCAUAUGUGCUGGAAAUUUAGGUAAAGAUCCUCUGGGGCAUUUUACAGUGCAGCAUGCACAAUCAGUAAAGAGGAGGAGAAAAUACCAGAAGUCAGGCUUCUGGAACAAUGCUUCAGCAAUAAGUGGCAAGGACCCCCAUGAAAUAAAUUCAUUCUUGUGCACAAAUUUAAUGGUUGGCCGCUACAAUGUACAAGAACCUGCUCCUGAUCCCCUUCUGCUGCCAUUUCUCUGCAGUACGGCUCAUUCUGAUUCUAAAGAUGGUCUACAAGAUGAGUCUCCUGGUAGUGUUGCUGCUGCUCCUGAUGUAGAAAGGUACCAGUUAAGGAAAUAUGUUUUGAUUUGCCUGCACAUUUAUUCAUUUUCUGUCAGACUUCCUGCAAAUCUAGCAUAAAAUAAACUGGAAUUUCUAUUGUUAAACGUGAAAGAAUAUGGAAGUAAACUUGCAAUUCCUAGUAAAAGAUGUACCUUUCUGUAUUAGUUGUCGCUGGAAUAAACAAAGAAUCUAUGUAGGUGGUGCUCCUUCCCUCUUUUGAGAAACCAAAGCAAGCCAACUUCUUGAGAAACCAAUGCAUGCUAUUCAAAGUAGAUUCAGCUUCAAUUCUGGGGUGUAUCUCCUUUAGUGGCCCAUCAGGUUGAAGUUUGGACUUAUCGUCUUUGGCAUACAAGAAGAUAACCAGAGCCCGAGGGUACUAGUAGCAAAGAAUCCUUAAGUGAGUAAAAGAUGAUCAACUGUGGUGAUGAAAGGGCAGUGAUGGACACCUUAAACAUGAAACAAAGCAACAAGCUGCCCGUAUGUGAUCCAGAUCUGGAAGAACAGUAUGAAGCGAAAAGGCGAAGAGCGGCAUUUAUUCAAGAGCUUAUUGCUUCAACUAUCUUCUAAGACAUGCAUAACCAGAGGGAGGAUUCAACCCAACGAAGAGAACAGCUUUAGACCUUAUGUAUGAGAAUAAUGCUUCACAGAAACAUGUAGGUGCUAUAUGUAUCCCAUUACUAGCUAAAGUCUCGGAAUAUCUAAUAGUAACAUCAUUUAUGGCUAGAAGCUAUUUACACGAAGACAUAUGCACUGCAUAUUAUAUGUCUUGGAUCAAUUUUAGUGCAAAUUGAAAUAUUUUUAUGUCUUAUCAUUUUUACCUCAGGUGCAUAACACACCCACAUUUGCUACUUACAUCCUUCUCGUCCUCUUUAGACAUUUUCCUGAUAUAAAGAUUACAGAUUAAUUUAUAUUCUUUCUCUUAAAAUGUUCUUUUUCAGCAAACAUUAUAAAUUGUCAUUGACUGCCAGGCAACUUAACAGAAGUUGGCAAAUUGGCUUUGACAUAUACGCAUUGAACAAUCUAACAUUUCUCUAAGAGGUGCGGGUUAUUAACUCCUAUAUCUGAGUGCAAAUUGAACCAUUUCCUCUACAGAUAGUGGGGUAUCCACCCCUAUAGCUAUGUUCUAUUCCGAGGAAUAAAAUAAAAAUAGUCUUUUAGAGAGAUGACUGAGCAGCUCAGUUGAUAUGUUGUAAUCUGUUGCACUGAGAGAACAAUAUUCUGGUUCAGUUGGGCAAACUGGAUUGACAGCUUGAACCGCAGCCGAAAGAGUAGACUAAAACAAAAUUCUCCUUUAACGUAGUCAUCAACUUGUUUAGGAAAAUAUAUACACAAGCACACAUUUGUUUAGACAUAAUAUUUUGCGAUAAAAGAACUACCAAUGAAAAGGGCACUUGUAAGUUGUUUGGACAAACUGUUUUAACAGAGAGAGACCAAGCAAUCACUUCCUUUUCAUUUUC
Molecule: non-coding RNA, 2231 nt
Organism: Nicotiana tabacum (common tobacco)
Lineage: Eukaryota; Viridiplantae; Streptophyta; Magnoliopsida; Solanales; Solanaceae
Source: RefSeq, a predicted model, not a curated record